Molecule: unclassified non-coding RNA, 395 nt
Filed under: soil metagenome
Description: partial contains 5.8S ribosomal RNA, internal transcribed spacer 2, and large subunit ribosomal RNA
Rfam family: 5.8S ribosomal RNA (bases 1-122)
Source: RNAcentral
GAUGAAGAACGUAGCGAAAUGCGAUACUUGGUGUGAAUUGCAGAAUCCCGUGAACCAUCGAGUCUUUGAACGCAAGUUGCGCCCGAAGCCAUCAGGUUGAGGGCACGUCUGCCUGGGCGUCACAUAUCGUUGCCCAAUGCCUAUUGCAGUGCAAUAGGAAUUUCUAGGGCGAAUGAUGGCUUCCCGUGAGCGUUGUUGCCUCGCGGUUGGUUGAAAAUCGAGUCCUUGGUAGGGUGUGCCAUGGUAGAUGGUGGUCGAGUUAGCACGAUACCGAUCAUGUGCAUGCUCCCCAAAAUAUGGCCUCUAUGACCCACACGCGUCUUUUGACGCUCAUGACGAGACCUCAGGUCAGGCGGGGCUACCCGCUGAAUUUAAGCAUAUCAAUAAGCGGAGGA